Molecule: ribosomal RNA, 271 nt
Filed under: uncultured prokaryote
Description: partial 16S ribosomal RNA
Rfam family: Bacterial small subunit ribosomal RNA
Source: RNAcentral
UACGUAGGUGGCAAGCGUUGUCCGGAUUUAUUGGGCGUAAAGGGAGCGCAGGCGGUGACUUAAGUCUGGUGUGAAAGCCCACGGCUCAACCGUGGAAGGUCAUUGGAAACUGGGUCACUUGAAUAUAGAAGAGGAAAGUGGAAUUCCAUGUGUAGCGGUGAAAUGCGUAGAUAUAUGGAGGAACACCAGUGGCGAAGGCGACUUUCUGGUCUAUUAUUGACGCUGAGGCUCGAAAGCAUGGGUAGCAAACAGGAUUAGAUACCCCCGUAGU